RNAcentral lists this ribosomal RNA (539 nucleotides) under Caecilia sp. KR-2007. RNAcentral's name for it is "partial 16S ribosomal RNA". It matches the Rfam family "Bacterial large subunit ribosomal RNA", at positions 1817 to 2597 of the family's 2925-position model. Lineage: Eukaryota; Metazoa; Chordata; Amphibia; Gymnophiona; Caeciliidae. The record is from RNAcentral.
CGCCUCUAGCUAAACCCAUGUAUUAGAGGUACUGCCUGCCCAGUGACAUAGAUUCAACGGCCACGGUAUUUUGACCGUGCAAAGGUAGCAUAAUCACUUGUUUUUUAAAUAAAGACCUGUAUGAAAGGCAAGACGAAAGCUUAACUGUCUCCUUUGUCUAGUCUACGAACCUGAUCUCCCUGUAAAAAAGCAGGGAUACACCCGUAAGACGAGAAGACCCUAUGGAGCUUAAGAUAAAUAGACAACUUUACCACACCCUAACCCACAGUAAAACCUGCCUUACUAUCUUCAGUUGGGGCGACUACGGAGCACACAAAACCUCCGCGAACUAUAUGCUAAACAACACAAAUUGACGCACUAAAACAUUAAAACAAUUGACCCAAUAACUUGAUCAACGAACCAAGCUACCCUAGGGAUAACAGCGCAAUCCUCUUUUAGAGUCCUUAUCGCCGAGAGGGUUUACGACCUCGAUGUUGGAUCAGGGUACCCAGACAAUGCAGCCGUUGUCAUAGGUUUGUUUGUUCAACAAUUAAAACCCU